RNAcentral lists this ribosomal RNA (281 nucleotides) under Phocaeicola coprophilus DSM 18228 = JCM 13818. RNAcentral's name for it is "partial 16S ribosomal RNA". It matches the Rfam family "Bacterial small subunit ribosomal RNA", at positions 496 to 776 of the family's 1533-position model. The record is from RNAcentral. Lineage: Bacteria; Pseudomonadati; Bacteroidota; Bacteroidia; Bacteroidales; Bacteroidaceae.
UAUGGUUGUGUGCCAGCCGCCGCGGUAAUACGGAGGAUGCGAGCGUUAUCCGGAUUUAUUGGGUUUAAAGGGAGCGUAGACGGGUUUUUAAGUCAGCUGUGAAAGUUUGGGGCUCAACCUUAAAAUUGCAGUUGAAACUGGAGACCUUGAGUACGGUUGAGGCAGGCGGAAUUCGUGGUGUAGCGGUGAAAUGCUUAGAUAUCACGAAGAACCCCGAUUGCGAAGGCAGCCUGCUAAGCCGCCACUGACGUUGAGGCUCGAAAGUGCGGGUAUCAAACAGG